AGUGAACGCUGGCGGUAGGCCUAACACAUGCAAGUCGAACGGCAGCACAGGAGAGCUUGCUCUCUGGGUGGCGAGUGGCGGACGGGUGAGGAAUACAUCGGAAUCUACUUUUUCGCGGGGGAUAACGUAGGGAAACUUACGCUAAUACCGCAUACGACCUACGGGUGAAAGCAGGGGACCUUCGGGCCUUGCGCGAUUGAAUGAGCUGAUGUCGGAUUAGCUAGUUGGCGGGGUAAAGGCCCACCAAGGCGACGAUCCGUAGCUGGUCUGAGAGGAUGAUCAGCCACACUGGAACUGAGACACGGUCCAGACUCCUACGGGAGGCAGCAGUGGGGAAUAUUGGACAAUGGGCGCAAGCCUGAUCCAGCCAUACCGCGUGGGUGAAGAAGGCCUUCGGGCUGUAAAGCCCUUUUGUUGGGAAAGAAAUCCAGCUGGCUAAUACCCGGUUGGGAUGACGGUACCCAAAGAAUAAGCACCGGCUAACUUCGUGCCAGCCGCCGCCGUAA
RNAcentral lists this ribosomal RNA (506 nucleotides) under uncultured bacterium. RNAcentral's name for it is "partial 16S ribosomal RNA". It matches the Rfam family "Bacterial small subunit ribosomal RNA", at positions 29 to 523 of the family's 1533-position model. The record is from RNAcentral.